UUCGAUGCUACACGAAGAACCUUACAGGGUUUGACAUACAAGUGGUAGAGAAGCGAAAGCGGACCGACCCUCGGGAGCUUGUACAGGUGCUGCAUGGGCUGUCGUCAGCUCGUGUCGUGAGAUGUUCGGUUAAGUCCGCUAACGAGCGCAACCCUCGUCGUAUGUUAUAUGUGUCAUACGAGACUGCCGGUAAAAGCCGGAGGAAGGUGAGGAUGAUGUCAAGUCAGCAUGACCUUUAUAUCCAGGGCUACACACACGCUACAAUGGUCUGUACAAUGGGUAGCCAAGCCGCGAGGCGGAGCCAAUCCUGAAAGCAGGCCUCAGUUCAGAUUGCAGUCUGCAACUCGACUGCAUGAAGCCGGAGUUGCUAGUAACCGCAGGUCAGCAAUACUGCGGUGAAUACGUUCCCGGGUCUU
This 416-nucleotide ribosomal RNA is filed under the name uncultured Anaerolineaceae bacterium. RNAcentral describes it as "bacterial SSU rRNA". It matches the Rfam family "Bacterial small subunit ribosomal RNA", at positions 950 to 1382 of the family's 1533-position model. Lineage: Bacteria; Bacillati; Chloroflexota; Anaerolineae; Anaerolineales; Anaerolineaceae. The record is from RNAcentral.